CAGUCGCCGCGGUAAUACAGAGGAUGCAAGCGUUAUCCGGAAUUACUGGGCGUAAAGGGCGCGUAGGCGGCCAUUCAAGUUAGAUGUGAAAGCCCCGGGCUCAACCUGGGAAUGGCAUCCGAUACUGGCAGGCUAGAGUUCGAUAGAGGGUAGUGGAAUUCCAGGUGUAGCGGUGAAAUGCAUAGAGAUCUGGAGGAACAUCAGUGGCGAAGGCGGCUACCUGGAUCAGAACUGACACUGAGGCACGAAAGCGUGGGGAGCAAACAGGAUUAGAGACCCCCGUAGUCCCUGUCUCUUAUAC
This 301-nucleotide ribosomal RNA is filed under the name uncultured bacterium. Its description in RNAcentral is "partial 16S ribosomal RNA". It matches the Rfam family "Bacterial small subunit ribosomal RNA", at positions 509 to 807 of the family's 1533-position model. The record is from RNAcentral.